Molecule: ribosomal RNA, 600 nt
Filed under: uncultured bacterium
Lineage: Bacteria
Description: bacterial SSU rRNA
Rfam family: Bacterial small subunit ribosomal RNA (bases 1-432)
Source: RNAcentral
GUGCGGAACACGUGUGCACUGCCUUUAUCUGGGGGAUAGCCUUUCGAAAGGAAGAUUAAUACCCCAUAAUAUGUUGAAUGGCAUCAUUCGACAUUGAAAACUCCGGUGGAUAGAGAUGGGCACGCGCAAGAUUAGAUAGUUGGUGGGGUAACGGCUCACCAAGUCUACGAUCUUUAGGGGGCCUGAGAGGGUGAUCCCCCACACUGGUACUGAGACACGGACCAGACUCCUACGGGAGGCAGCAGUGAGGAAUAUUGGACAAUGGGUGAGAGCCUGACCCAGCCAUCCCGCGUGAAGGACGACUGCCCUAUGGGUUGUAAACUUCUAUUGUAUAGGGAUAAACUACCCUCGUGAGGGUAGCUGAAGGUACUAUACGAAUAAGCACCGGCUAACUCCGUGCCAGCAGCCCGCGGUACUACCGGAGGGUCGCAACGCGGCANUCCCGGAUCCCACCGGCGCCAACACGGGCUCCGCACGGGCCGGGGAAUCCCNGGGCAAAACCGCCCAACGUCAGGGUCGGAAAAAUACCUCCAAACAGGCAGUUCAAAGCCUCGGNGCGAAACCUCGGCACUNUCGGACUCACCNCGGCACAGNCCCCUA